Molecule: transfer RNA, 95 nt
Filed under: Desulfurobacterium thermolithotrophum DSM 11699
Lineage: Bacteria; Pseudomonadati; Aquificota; Aquificia; Desulfurobacteriales; Desulfurobacteriaceae
Description: tRNA-SeC (TCA) (tRNA-SeC-TCA-1-1)
Rfam family: Selenocysteine transfer RNA
Source: RNAcentral
GGAGGCGGACGGAGGCUGGUGUCUCCCCCGGACUUCAAAUCCGGCGGCCCCAUCAAGGAUGGGGUGGUAGGUUCGAUUCCUAUCCGCCUCCGCCA